ACGGAGGGGACUAGCGUUGUUCGGAAUUACUGGGCGUAAAGCGCACGUAGGCGGAUUUGUAAGUCAGGGGUGAAAUCCCGAGGCUCAACCUCGGAACUGCCUUUGAUACUGCAAAUCUCGAGUCCGGAAGAGGUGAGUGGAAUUCCUAGUGUAGAGGUGAAAUUCGUAGAUAUUAGGAAGAACACCAGUGGCGAAGGCGGCUCACUGGUCCGGUACUGACGCUGAGGUGCGAAAGCGUGGGGAGCAAACAGGA
This 253-nucleotide ribosomal RNA is filed under the name uncultured prokaryote. RNAcentral describes it as "partial 16S ribosomal RNA". It matches the Rfam family "Bacterial small subunit ribosomal RNA", at positions 525 to 777 of the family's 1533-position model. The record is from RNAcentral.